RNAcentral lists this ribosomal RNA (521 nucleotides) under uncultured bacterium. Its description in RNAcentral is "bacterial SSU rRNA". It matches the Rfam family "Archaeal small subunit ribosomal RNA", at positions 345 to 866 of the family's 1478-position model. The record is from RNAcentral.
AACCUCCGCAAUGUGAGAAAUCGCGACGGGGGGAUCCCAAGUGCCAUUCUUAACGGGAUGGCUUUUCAUUAGUGUAAAGAGCUUUUGGAAUAAGGGCUGGGCAAGACCGGUGCCAGCCGCCGCGGUAACACCGGCAGCUCUAGUGGUAGUAGUUUUUAUUGGGCCUAAAGCGUCCGUAGCCGGUUUAAUAAGUCUCUGGUGAAAUCCUGUAGCCUAACUGUGGGAAUUGCUGGAGAUACUAUUAGACUUGAGACCGGGAGAGGUUAGAGGUACUCCCAGGGUAGAGGUGAAAUUCUGUAAUCCUGGGAGGACCGCCUGUUGCGAAGGCGUCUAACUGGAACGGUUCUGACGGUGAGGGACGAAAGUUAGGGGCGCGAACCGGAUUAGAUACCCGGGUAGUCCUAACUGUAAACGAUGCGGACUUGGUGUUGGGGUGGCUUUGAGCUGCUCCAGUGCCGAAGGGAAGCUGUUAAGUCCGCCGCCUGGGAAGUACGGUCGCAAGACUGAAACUUAAAGGAAUU